UACUCGAGUGGCGAACGGGUGAGUAACACGUGGGUGAUCUGCCCUGCACUUCGGGAUAAGCCUGGGAAACUGGGUCUAAUACCGGAUAGGAGCCAUUUUUAGUGUGAUGGUUGGAAAGUUUUUUCGGUGUAGGAUGAGCUCGCGGCCUAUCAGCUUGUUGGUGGGGUAAUGGCCCACCAAGGCGGCGACGGGUAGCCGGCCUGAGAGGGUGGACGGCCACAUUGGGACUGAGAUACGGCCCAG
This 243-nucleotide ribosomal RNA is filed under the name uncultured Actinomycetales bacterium. RNAcentral describes it as "partial 16S ribosomal RNA". It matches the Rfam family "Bacterial small subunit ribosomal RNA", at positions 88 to 334 of the family's 1533-position model. Lineage: Bacteria; Bacillati; Actinomycetota; Actinomycetes; Actinomycetales. The record is from RNAcentral.